RNAcentral lists this ribosomal RNA (292 nucleotides) under uncultured bacterium. RNAcentral's name for it is "partial 16S ribosomal RNA". It matches the Rfam family "Bacterial small subunit ribosomal RNA", at positions 505 to 796 of the family's 1533-position model. The record is from RNAcentral.
UUUUCAGCAGCCGCGGUAAUACGUAGGGGGCAAGCGUUGUCCGGAUUUAUUGGGCGUAAAGAGCGUGUAGGCGGCCAGACAGGUCCGUUGUGAAAACUCGAGGCUCAACCUCGAGACGUCGACGGAAACCGUCUGGCUAGAGUCCGGAAGAGGAGUGUGGAAUUCCUGGUGUAGCGGUGAAAUGCGCAGAUAUCAGGAAGAACACCUAUGGCGAAGGCAGCACUCUGGGACGGUACUGACGCUGAGACGCGAAAGCGUGGGGAGCGAACAGGAUUAGAAACCCUCGUAGUCC